RNAcentral lists this ribosomal RNA (712 nucleotides) under Salmonella enterica. RNAcentral describes it as "partial 23S ribosomal RNA". It matches the Rfam family "Bacterial large subunit ribosomal RNA", at positions 2224 to 2925 of the family's 2925-position model. The record is from RNAcentral. Lineage: Bacteria; Pseudomonadati; Pseudomonadota; Gammaproteobacteria; Enterobacterales; Enterobacteriaceae.
AACGUGGGCCCGUGAACCGGGUUGCGGACAGUGUCUGGUGGGUAGUUUGACUGGGGCGGUCUCCUCCUAAAGAGUAACGGAGGAGCACGAAGGUUGGCUAAUCCUGGUCGGACAUCAGGAGGUUAGUGCAAUGGCAUAAGCCAGCUUGACUGCGAGCGUGACGGCGCGAGCAGGUGCGAAAGCAGGUCAUAGUGAUCCGGUGGUUCUGAAUGGAAGGGCCAUCGCUCAACGGAUAAAAGGUACUCCGGGGAUAACAGGCUGAUACCGCCCAAGAGUUCAUAUCGACGGCGGUGUUUGGCACCUCGAUGUCGGCUCAUCACAUCCUGGGGCUGAAGUAGGUCCCAAGGGUAUGGCUGUUCGCCAUUUAAAGUGGUACGCGAGCUGGGUUUAGAACGUCGUGAGACAGUUCGGUCCCUAUCUGCCGUGGGCGCUGGAAGAUUGAGGGGGGCUGCUCCUAGUACGAGAGGACCGGAGUGGACGCAUCACUGGUGUUCGGGUUGUCAUGCCAAUGGCACUGCCCGGUAGCUACAUGCGGAAGAGAUAAGUGCUGAAAGCAUCUAAGCACGAAACUUGCCCCGAGAUGAAUCUUCCCUGAGCCUUUAAGGCUCCUGAAGGAACGUUGAAGACGACGACGUUGAUAGGCCGGGUGUGUAAGCGCAGCGAUGCGUUGAGCUAACCGGUACUAAUGAACCGUGAGGCUUAACCUUACAAC